GAUGAAGAACGCAGCGAAAUGCGAUAAGUAAUGUGAAUUGCAGAAUUCAGUGAAUCAUCGAAUCUUUGAACGCACAUUGCGCCCCCUGGUAUUCCGGGGGGCAUGCCUGUCCGAGCGUCAUUACAACCCUCAAGCUCAGCUUGGUGUUGGGCCCCGCCGCCCCGGUGGGCCCUAAAGUCAGUGGCGGUGCCGUCCGGCUCCGAGCGUAGUAAUUCUUCUCGCUCUGGAGGUCCGGUCGUGUGCUCGCCAGCAACCCCCAAUUUUUUUCAGGUUGACCUCGGAUCAGGUAGGGAUACCCGCUGAACUUAAGCAUAUCAAUAAGCGGAGGA
RNAcentral lists this unclassified non-coding RNA (329 nucleotides) under soil metagenome. RNAcentral describes it as "partial contains 5.8S ribosomal RNA, internal transcribed spacer 2, and large subunit ribosomal RNA". The stretch from base 1 to 120 matches the Rfam family "5.8S ribosomal RNA", at positions 35 to 154 of the family's 154-position model. The record is from RNAcentral.